Molecule: ribosomal RNA, 186 nt
Filed under: Microvirga sp. 3-52
Lineage: Bacteria; Pseudomonadati; Pseudomonadota; Alphaproteobacteria; Hyphomicrobiales; Methylobacteriaceae
Description: partial 16S ribosomal RNA
Rfam family: Bacterial small subunit ribosomal RNA
Source: RNAcentral
AUUAUGGAGAGUUUGAUCCUGGCUCAGGACGAACGCUGGCGGCAUGCCUAAUACAUGCAAGUCGAGCGAAUGUUUUAAGAAGCUUGCUUCUUAAAAUGUUAGCGGCGGAUGGGUGAGUAACACGUGGGCAACCUGCCCUGCAGAUGGGGAUAACUCCGGGAAACCGGGGCUAAUACCGAAUAAUCA